This 404-nucleotide ribosomal RNA is filed under the name Actinomycetes bacterium. RNAcentral describes it as "Actinobacteria bacterium partial 16S ribosomal RNA". It matches the Rfam family "Bacterial small subunit ribosomal RNA", at positions 355 to 776 of the family's 1533-position model. The record is from RNAcentral. Lineage: Bacteria; Bacillati; Actinomycetota; Actinomycetes.
UGGGGAAUAUUGGACAAUGGGCGCAAGCCUGAUCCAGCCAUGCCGCGUGAGUGAUGAAAGCCCUAGGGUUGUAAAGCUCUUUCACCGGUGAAGAUAAUGACGGUAACCGGAGAAGAAGCCCCGGCUAACUUCGUGCCAGCAGCCGCGGUAAUACGAAGGGGGCUAGCGUUGUUCGGAUUUACUGGGCGUAAAGCGCACGUAGGCGGACUUUUAAGUCAGGGGUGAAAUCCCGGGGCUCAACCCCGGAACUGCCUUUGAUACUGGAAGUCUUGAGUAUGGUAGAGGUGAGUGGAAUUCCGAGUGUAGAGGUGAAAUUCGUAGAUAUUCGGAGGAACACCAGUGGCGAAGGCGGCUCACUGGACCAUUACUGACGCUGAGGUGCGAAAGCGUGGGGAGCAAACAGG